UGGGGAAUUUUUUGGACAAUGGGUCGAAAGGCGUGAUCCAGCAAUCCGCGUGUGUGAAGAAGGGCUUUCGGGUUGUAAUAGCACUUUUGUCCGGAAAGAAAUCCUUGGCCUCUAAUACGUUCGGGGGAUGACUGGUUACCUGGAAGAAUAAGCACCGGCUAACUACGUGUCCAGCAGCCGCGGUAAUACGUAGGGUGCGAGCGUUAAUCGGAAUUACUGGGCGUAAAGCGUGCGCAGUCGGUUUGCUAAGACCGAUGUGAAAUCCCCGGGCUCAACCUGGGAACUGCAUUGGUGACUGGCAGGCUAGUAGUAUGGCAGAGGGGGGUAGAAUUCCACGUGUAGCAGUGUAAAUGCGUAGAGAUGUGGAGGAAUACCGAUGGCGAAGGCAGCCCCCUGGGCCAAUACUGACGCUCAUGCACUGAAAGCGUGGGGAGCAAACAGGAUUAGAUACCCUGGUAGUCCACGCCCUAAACGAUGUCAACUAGUUGUUGGGGAUUCAUUUCCUUAGUAACGUAGCUAACGCGUGAAGUUGACCGCCUGGGGAGUACGGUCGCAAGAUUAAAACUCAAAGGAAUUGACGG
RNAcentral lists this ribosomal RNA (581 nucleotides) under uncultured bacterium. RNAcentral's name for it is "bacterial SSU rRNA". It matches the Rfam family "Bacterial small subunit ribosomal RNA", at positions 355 to 916 of the family's 1533-position model. The record is from RNAcentral. RNAcentral also lists the same sequence under 1 other name.